This 497-nucleotide ribosomal RNA is filed under the name uncultured bacterium. Its description in RNAcentral is "partial 16S ribosomal RNA". It matches the Rfam family "Bacterial small subunit ribosomal RNA", at positions 28 to 507 of the family's 1533-position model. The record is from RNAcentral.
GACGAACGCUGGCGGCGUGCCUAAUACAUGCAAGUUGAGCGCUGAAGGUUGGUACUUGUACCAACUGGAUGAGCAGCGAACGGGUGAGUAACGCGUGGGGAAUCUGCCUUUGAGCGGGGGACAACAUUUGGAAACGAAUGCUAAUACCGCAUAAAAACUUUAAACACAAGUUUUAAGUUUGAAAGAUGCAAUUGCAUCACUCAAAGAUGAUCCCGCGUUGUAUUAGCUAGUUGGUGAGGUAAAGGCUCACCAAGGCGAUGAUACAUAGCCGACCUGAGAGGGUGAUCGGCCACAUUGGGACUGAGACACGGCCCAAACUCCUACGGGAGGCAGCAGUAGGGAAUCUUCGGCAAUAGACGAAAGGCUGACCGAGCAACGCCGCGGGAGUGAAGAAGGUUUUCGGAUCGUAAAACUCUGUUGGUAGAGAAGAACGUUGGUGAGAGUGGAAAGCUCAUCAAGUGACGGUAACUACCCAGAAAGGGACGGCUAACUACGUG